GUAAUACAUCGGAACGUACCCAGUAGCGGGGGAUAGCCCGGCGAAAGCCGGAUUAAUACCGCAUACGCCCUACGGGGGAAAGGGGGGGAUCGUAAGACCUCUCACUAUUGGAGCGGCCGAUGGCUGAUUAGCUAGUUGGUGGGGUAAAGGCCUACCAAGGCAACGAUCAGUAGCUGGUCUGAGAGGACGACCAGCCACACUGGGACUGAGACACGGCCCAGACUCCUACGGGAGGCAGCAGUGGGGAAUUUUGGACAAUGGGCGAAAGCCUGAUCCAGCAAUGCCGCGUGUGCGAAGAAGGCCUUCGGGUUGUGAAGCACUUUUGUCAGGGAAGAAAUCGUUCGGGCUAAUACCUCGGGCAGUUGACGGUACCUGAAGAAUAAGCACCGGCUAACUACGUGCCAGCAGCCGCGGUAAUACGUAGGGUGCAAGCGUUAAUCGGAAUUACUGGGCGUAAAGCGUGCGCAGGUGGUUCGUUAAGACAGUUGUGAAAUCCCCGGGCUUAACCUGGGAACUGCAAUUGUGACUGGCGGACUAGAGUUUGGCAGAGGGGGGUGGAAUUCCUGGUGUAGCAGUGUAAUGCGUAGAUAUCAGGAGGAACACCGAUGGCGAAGGCAGCCCCCUGGGCCAUGACUGACACUCAUACA
This 647-nucleotide ribosomal RNA is filed under the name uncultured bacterium. RNAcentral's name for it is "bacterial SSU rRNA". It matches the Rfam family "Bacterial small subunit ribosomal RNA", at positions 110 to 753 of the family's 1533-position model. The record is from RNAcentral.